CUCGACGACCAUACCACGUUGAAAGCAUCGGUUCUCGUCCGAUCACCGAAGUCAGGCGACCUUGGGCCCGGUUAGUAUUUGCAUAGGUGACCGGCUGGGAAUAUCGGGUGAUGUUGGCU
RNAcentral lists this ribosomal RNA (119 nucleotides) under Trichobilharzia regenti. The record is from RNAcentral. Lineage: Eukaryota; Metazoa; Platyhelminthes; Trematoda; Strigeidida; Schistosomatidae.